AUUUUACAACACUGGCUACAACAGUGCCAUGCGAAUACCAGUUCUCACUUUCAGGUGACAUUGUAAAUAAAAAGAGGGCAGCAUUAUCGCCCCUAAAUGUAAACGAACUCGUUUGUCUUAACGUUUGGCUGAACAAGAAGUAGGACUGAGUGGGCUUGUAAAUUGCAUUUUCACGAUAGAGAUCACACUACAGUGCUUAAAAGAAAUAGAAUUUUCAAUUCACCUCAUUCUUUUUUAGAGUGCAAACAUUUGUAAUAAAUAUAAAGUGAGCACUGUACCAUUUGUAUUCUGUGCUGGAAUUGAAAAUCAGUAUAUUUGAAAAUGUAGAAAUUAUCCAAAAAUAUUUAAAUAAAUGGUAUUCUAUUAUUGUUCAACAGUGCAAUUAAACCUGUGAUUAACGUGAUUAACUUUUUUAAUCAUUUGACAUACCUAAUUGUAACUCUUUCAGCUUUACAAUUGGUAUCUCACAUUUAAAAUCUGGAACUGAAAUAAUCAAGGUCAUUUAACAAUAAAAUAUUUGACAUCAGGCAUGCGUGUUGGUAAAAUAGUAAAGGGAAGGAACUGAGUAUGCCAAGAGGGGGCGCCAAAACUAUAACAACUCAUCAAACUUAAUCCAGCCCUCUGAACAUGGCAAUGGUGAAAGCGGUAGUCUAGCCUGGACACCAAAGAUUUUUUUUUAUAACCUGUUCAGCAGAGUGUCUUCAGUACAGCCGCCUUUGCUGAUAACACCAGUGGUAAACAUUUUAGAUCUUAAAUUUGCUGGUGUAAAUGAGACCUAACACAGUGAGGACCCAAAUCUCAAUGUAACCCGUUUUGACGACUUUCCAGUUAUAACACCAAUCUCUUGUUGUGGUCAUUGUUGAAGUUAGCAUUAUUUGCUCUAAUCUGGAUUGCGGCUUUAUAAAAACGCUUCAGUAUAUCACUAUCUGUAUUUCAGUGAAGCAAAGACAACCCUCUUUGCAUCUUAUUAGGUCUUUAUUCAUUUUAAAGUGGGCUCCUUCAUAUUAGAAUACACAAAUUAAACCCUUAAAUAUUACUAGUAUAACUUUUAUUGUGAUAGUCUUUUACAAUUUCAAAUAUCUCUCAGCACUAAUUAAGUUGUGCAAUUUGUAAUUAUAGGAACCCCACACAUACAAUGAGUACGCACAUAAUGCACAUCUGAACAGGGUGAGGCAGCAUGGAGAGUACAGUAUAGCUUUUUUGACUGCCUUAUUUUGCAUUUACACCUUCAGAAAAAUCUAAGUUUAAAGAUUAAGUCAAUUGAUAGGUCUCAUACUUUAAAGGGAAACUUUCUAUAUUAAAGAUUGUAUUACAAGUAAGUGCUAAUGAUCUGAACCCCAGUUAGGAUUAUCUGUAAUUCAGGAAUGUAUAUUCUCCCCCCCCCCCAAAUCAAAUUUUUCUUUUCUAAAAUACCAAUUUUCCAAAUUUUACAUGUCUCCAGAGCUGUCAGAAUAGAUGGCUUGUAUUUGUUACCUUUUAUCUUAAUUGCUUAUGUCUUAACACACAAGACUAAAAAUGUUAAGUAAAUUGAUGUCACUAUGCUGUGUUUUACUUUGGGCGUAUGACUCUCUUUUGGGGGAUGAAACUAGACUGGUCAGUUGUAACCUCUUCAGUCAUUCUCACUUUGGUCUUGUCUACACUUGGUAGUAGCCAGUUCACACGUCAGAGAUGAGUUAUCUGCAGAAAUGCACAGGCUCUUAAUGUGUAGACAAGGGCAUGCAGGAUCUUAUAUCAAUUGAAUUAGUCCCAUUUACUUCAGGAACACUGCUGAAUUAGGGUUAUUCCGAAGUGUAGACAUGUCUCCAUUUCUAUGGACUACCACAGGUUCUGUUUGUAGUAGGUGGUGAUGGUUACGCAUUGUUCUGUGCUGAUCCCUGUGGUGUCUGGAUGCCAUUGCAUAAACUUGAAAAAACUUCAGUUCCUUCUCAGGAAAGGAAUAAAACUCCUCCUCUCCCCACAGGCUAAAGCCAGUUAUUUCAGAAGUUUCGCAUUUCAGUAGUUUAUUUCCUAGAACAUGCAGCUAGACCUAUUUCACAACUUGUUUCUAGGCGAAGGCAGAUGAGCCAGUCCUUGUACCACACCUUAAGGAUGACAUGACUCAGGCUCAGGCUAUCCCCAUCUGUGACAAAUUCCAUAGAGUGCACAUGUGACCUUCCUGCAGUUCUGUGCCUGAGAGAUGGCUUCCUGUUUGGGCACAAGCCAGGAAGCACAGCUAGCAUCAAUGAAAUGGUGACACGGAAUCUACCCAAAUUGCUGAUAAAUGCACCAAGUAAACAAACUGGUAAAAAAUUUAAGGCAAAAUACACCUUUUCUGUAAUCAGAUUCCAUUGUAAUAAUUUUAUAGGGUUACUAGUUGCAAUAGUAGAUACAACAUACUUGGGGAAACAUAACUUACAGGUUGGCAAUCUCCCCUUUUAAUCAGUGCUAUUUAGAGGAUGCGUAUACCUUGACUUGCUGCUCUACAGAUCACUGGUUUUCCUGACUGGUUUCAUUGACUUCUUUUAAUUUAAUAAAAAUCUUUUUCAGUUUUGUGGGUUUAAAAAAAAAAACACAACUUUUUUGCAGUCUGAUUUUAGGGUCUGUGCUCCUUGGCACUGCCCCUUUCAACAAGAUAGAAUUUCAAAGUAGAGCUCAUUGUCAUACAUUCAUUUGGCAACGUUGUCUAACCAGUAGGCUAUAAAUGCAGUAAACACUCUGCAGCCUUUACCCUUCUAUUUAAAUCUUUAUUCUGUUUCCUCAGGUACUACAGAGGUGGGUGUGAGAAACAAAAUCUGCACAGAUGGAUGGAUCUAUCAAUGCAGGCUACUGGGCAAUCUUUCCCUGGAGCUGCCAAAAGACUGUAGGCAACUAGUGAUAAGAGUUGAAGUUUUCAUCAGCUUGUGUUUUCUUAACCAGCUUCAAUCUCUGUUCUGCUUCCAUUAGAAGCAUCCAGAGCGAAAUUGUUGUAUAUUUUAAGUCUUACUGUAAAUCUAAAUAACCAGCUAAUUCAUUGCUUUGAGUUAGUGGCAGAGACCGAUAGAGGAAGGACUGGUCUUAUGUACAGCAGUUUUAUUUGUGGCCCUGUUUUCAUCAUCUUGAAAGAUAAUGUAUUUUCUUGCUUGCUUCUUUGCCUCCUUCUCCAGCCCCCAUCAAUUGAAAGCUCAAGCUUGUGCCAAACCUUCUCUGAGGAAGGUCUUUAAAUUCUUCUUUGGUUAUGUCCCCUUUUUUUCCACCCUUGGAAUCCUGCCUGCUUUAAUGGCUUACACCCUUUGAUUUACUGGACCAUGUAACGCGUGCUCAAAGAGUGGUGUCAACUAUGAAAUCCAAAACUGCCAUUAAAUUCCAUAGGGCCAGGAUUUCUCCCCUAGUUUCUGCUCACCACAUCUAACAAAGUCUAACCUUCAUUUCUAGUAUCAUCCAUACAUGUGGCUUCCCACCUAUGAAAAAUGGGAGGUUGUAGGCAUACACAAUGCCAUACGUUUUUCCUCUCCCAGGUCAAUGCAUUGAACAAUAAAACAAAAAAUCCACACUAGUGCAGCUUCUACCUUAUCUACAGUUUAUAUCUGUAGUUACCUAAGAUAAGUAUGUUCUCUGAGUCAGGUAGGUCACCCAACCAGUUUACACUGGCUUGAUUCUUGGAAGACGUGGGUUCUGUUCUGCACCUCAGUCCUGACUUGCUAGCUCCAUUUUGAUUUCUGUUAAGCAGAGAGACUGCCAGCUCAAACCAAAGGUGUAAUUGUUUUUUGGUGUGUCCAAACAGUGAGGAUGAGGCUGUCCAAAUUCAUUUUUAAUUGUGACCAAACAGAAUUUGAAUCUAGGACUUCAGUGUUGAGGCUUGUGUGUCAUAAUCCACUAAAACACAUAAAUGGUCGGAAAUCUGCUGCUGUUUUAAUAGACCUUCUGUUGAAGCUCUCUAACGUUCUGGGAAUAACCUCAUGAGACUGUCCUUGCUUGCCUGACUGUAAUCUGAGAUCAUGCCUUCGGUUCUGAGUAAACGAAGGGUAGGAUUCUAGGAGUAACAAUCUCCCAAGCAUGUUUCACUGCCAGAACCUAUUUGACUGGAGGCUUCUCACUGUUAAUUGGAAAUAAUGUCAGAAGUAUCUUUCACCCCAGGCUCGUCAUUUCCAAAAGGAAUAGCAAGAGCAAGGUCUGUCAAUGCCAGAUAUUUUGGUCUUCAAACAUCUCCACCUGCACUCUCAAUCCUCAUGUUUUUGCAAGGUGUGCGUGUGUAUAACUAAAAUGUGUAGAUAGGGCUAUGGCAUAAGAAUCAAGUUAAUAUCUAUAUCUAUCAUAUUAGAAUGCAUCCCUAAGAAAAUUCUCAUUAAUUUGAUUCACUGAAAGAAUCUUCUAGUGAAGUGACUUUCAACCUUUCUAUAUUGCAAGCCCAUGUUAAUCAGGAAAAAAAUAUAUGGAUAUUCCCUCUUCCUCCUCCCUUCCCCAAUCGAGCCAUAAAGAAAAGAAGGGUGAUCAGAUCCCCUGAAACAUGUUUGAGACCCACCCUCCCAGAACCAUCAGCUAUGGUAUUUGCACUAUGCUCCUGGCCCUACUGUCUGUCUGCCUUACAAUUUCUAAAAAGAAACACACAUUUUCUCUCUUCUCUGCAGUUCUAGGAAGAGAAAGUUUGAGAAGAAUUAUUUUUAGAAAGCCUUUUUCAGUACUGUUGCACAGUGGUGUGAUUGUAUUGCGUAAAAUAGGGAUGUUACUUUGUUGGCUGCUGUGAAGUUAAAGAUUCACUGUGCUCUUUUGUCCCCCCAUAUCACUUAAAAUGAGUAUUUAGACAAUUUAAGUGAUUUAUAUUUUACUGGAAGUUGAGGAGAGGAACUGUUUGAACACUACUUCCUGAAGCAUCCUGUCAUCUCUGUGAUUGCUCUUAAUUAAUGUGCUUCAUGGAAGAGGGGCUGUCUUUGUUGCUUGCAUAAGGCUGAAUGUAUUGUCUGCCCUUAAGAUAUUUUCAGUUUGACCAUAUGUAUGGUAUUCUGGGGUUCUCUCUUUAAUCAAAGCUCUCUCUCCCUUUCUCCAGGACGUGCAAAAUUAAGUCAAGGCUUUAAACUGUAAUUCCAUGAAGAGCCAACUGUUGAGCGACUGUAUCUAGUGUAAAGUGUGGCUAUUAUGGUGAUGGGGCAAUAGAAAUAUCUCAAUGGAUGAGUGGUCUAAAGAUGAGAACCAUGAAGGAAAGUAAGAGGUACAUGGCAUAAGAUGUUACCUCAUCAAAAUUUCACUUUUGUUACACAUUCUCACACUAGACAAGGAAAGGGGGCAUUGUUUAAUAGUAAGCAUGCUAGUCUUUGAACUCAGUACGGUAUCCUGUUGCUGAAAGUCCCAAUAUACCAUCCUUCAACCUCUCCGGGCUGUUUACGCAUUUGUAAAAUGGUGGCAAUAAGGGGUGCUAAGAAUAAUUGGUGGUUAAGUGCUUUGAGCUCCACUGAUGUAUUUGCAUUGGGAAUUUUUUUGAUCCUUAUGUGGUUCCAAAUGUUGUGGAAUCCUGUGUGUUAAACUGCUGCUGAGGAAGUAAUGCUAUACUCAUGAGUCUGAGUUGUCCUUAGCCUUUAACAGAUCUGCAGGAGGAAAGAUUAAAGUGAAGCAGAACUACUGACUGGCUGCUCUAAGCAAGUGUACUCUUACCUCAUAAGAAAUGUUGUUCCUUUCCAAGUGUUGCUCAAGUUCAGUUCAUUUGAAGAACCAGAGUUUGGAGUCAUAGUGAUUGCGUGUUGGGGUUUUUUGUUUGUUUUUUUUUUUAAAUCCAUGAUUACUCCAGAAAAUUGUGCCAUGUUAAUCCAUGUUAAUAACUGGGCAAUCCAAACUGGUCAUGGAUUGAGCCAUCACAAAUGGAGACGUGUUAGUGUGUUGUCCUAAAUGGUCUGAUAUCUUUCAUUUUUGAUUGAAUUAGUCUUGCUGUGGUGAUUCUGAUUCAUGAUCAAUUUUGGUAAGUUUAGAAGCAAACAAGUGUAUUAAAAAUAAGUGCCUGUUUAAGACAAUUGCACUGCAUCAUAGGUUUAAGGGGGUUUUCACCUGGAGUGCAGAAGAAUUCCUGAGUCUACAGAAAUUCUCCAGUAUAUCAUAGGGCAACUUGUACUGGACCUGUUCUGCUUGAUCUAAAAAUCUGUUUUUGCCAUAGAGAACUAAACUGAUCCACUCUGACCUGAUUUUUAGCUGAUAACAGUUAGGCUGUGAAUGCUGAGUUGACAGUGAGAGACGGCACAGAAAGUGUUCUGAGUAAGGAAAAGAUUUUAAAGUAGAAAACAGAUCAGGCUGAGAGAAUUAAGGGACAAAAAGAAUGAGUGGUAGAUUUCCUGAACAAGGGAAGAAAUUAAAGUAAGACCUGUCUAAUUUUCCUUCAGGACAGGAACCAGCUUCUCAUUGUGUGUACGGUGGCUAGCACAAAUAGCCCUGAUGUCCGAUGUGGGCCUCUAGGCCAGUGUUUUUCAAAGUUCAGAUCAUGACCCAGUACUGGAUUGCAGCGUAUAAGGUACUGGGUCGCCUUGCUCAGCACCCAGGGACCCUAGCGGCUCUGGUUAGCACCACUGACCAGGAUGUUAACAGUCCCAUCAGCGGUGCUGCCCAGCUAAGGCAGGCUAGUGCCCACCUGCUCUGACACUGCGCUGGGCCCCAGAAGCAGCCAGCAACAGGUCCGGCUUCUAGGCAGGGGGGUCAUGGAGCUCCGCAUGCUGCCCGAGCACCAGUUCCGCACUCUCAUUGGUGGGUUCCCUGCUGGCGAGAGCCGCACAGAGCCGCUUGCACACCUCCGCCUAGGAGCCAGACCUGCUGCUGUCUGUUUCCGGGACGCAGCACUGUCUGUGGCGCCAGGACAGGCAGGAAGCCUGCCUUAGCACCCCUGCUGUGACACUAACCGGGAGCCACUGGAGGUAAGUCCACGCCCCAAACCCAUGCCCCAGCCCUAAGCCUCCUCCAAACCUGGAGCCCCUCCUGCACCCCAAAUCCCUCAUCCCUGGCCCCACCGCAGAGCCUGUACCUCCCAGCCCCACUCCGCAGCCCAAACCUCUGCCCCAGCCCUGAGCCCCUCCUACUCCAAACCCCUCAUCCCCAGCUCCGUUGGGUCACAGGCAUCAACAAUUUUCUUCAACUGGGUCCCCUGGAAAAAAGUUUGAAAACCACUGCUAGGCACUACCACAAUAUAUAUCAAUAGACUACCCACAGCAUUGGAGCUAAGUGAUGUGUUUAACUUAUUCAAUAGGUGUGUAGUGAUUUUGCCUCUUAAAGACAGCUCAGUAUCUUUGAAUUUCGCAUCUCUCUAAUUAGCUCUUGAUAGUCUAAAAUUACUCAAAAUUUACAGGGAGAAAAGGAAAAAUCUUCAGUGAAGUUGUUCAGAGUCUUUCAGUGGAGAGUGUGAUGUUUUUUCCAGCUGGACACAGGGGUUGCAAAUCAACUUCUGUAUUUGUAGCCUGGAAAUGGAGAAUAGAUUUCACAGAUGAAGACACCAGCUUAUGCACAGCUCAUAUCUGCUUGUUGCAAACACACUUUGUUGUUGUUGUUGCUUAAAUGAGUUUCAAAUGCCUUGAGAACUGGGUAGUUCUGAGGUGAAGGAAAACUGGGAGAAGCUGCAAGGUCUGGAGCAAACAUCUCCAACAGCUUUGCUGUAAAUGGAAGAAAAUAUCUUAUUCUUUUCUUUUUAAGCCUGCUUCAUGUCAUCUGAAAUGCUGCCUUUGCUGUUUAUCUUAGCUCUAUGCGUGACUGUUGCUUUUUGACACAACACGUCUCUUGCACAGCACUGCAUGUUUCUAUAUGCCUUGCAGUGUGUGAGUGUUAAGGAUGGCUGAGCUUGAAAGAAACCUCAGAUCAAGACAUCCCUGCAGUCUAGACCAUAGUUUUCAAUUGCCAAAGGCCCCCCCACACACACUCUUAUUCAUGCAGGAAAUUUAAAAGACAAAACUAAGUGACUCUUCAACUGAAAGAAGUGUCUACAUGGGUUUGCCCUAACUAACUAAACCAGUUUAAUUAAACUGCUGAAUGUUUUGUGUAGUCAAGACCUGGGAAUGCCCUGCUGCCUAUUCCCUCCCACUUAUACCAAAAGGAUGCUUGUGAUAACCGCAACUGGUGAGCUACCAUAUGGGGAAGAGAGGCAGCCUUGCAAGCAGCUGGGACCUAAAUAUUUAGCUUGCAUUCUGCAGACUGUUUAUCUUGCUGUGAUUCUACUUAAUUGCUCAAUUCCUUGUAAAAAAAAAAAAAAAAAAGUGUGUUAAAAAAAUUGGGCAAUCCUUAUGCAUACUCCAGAUUUGUUUUCAAAACUAGCGCUUUCAUUUCCCCCUUUCAAGCACCAUAACAAUAUUUAGUUGUAGAUGAGCUAAGAAAUUCUGAAUGUUACUAUAACACUGAGUCACCCAAGCAAAGAUUAACCAAAUAAGGAAACAAUGCAGUGGAUUGAGAAAUUUUGGAAGCCAUCAUAUUUUGACAUUUUUGUUUUAAAAAAAAAGUCUAGAGCUAUAUUCAGUAUAAUAUGGAAUGUGUUGUUUUCUGUCGAUACCCACUAAUCAAUGCAGCAUAAACAAAACUGUAUAAACAAAAACAUGCCCAUUACCAAGUUUUAGAUCGUAGAAUCAUAUGGACAUUAUGCUUUAAUAUGUGCACAGAUUUGGAUGUCACUUAAAAUGCCAAUGAUCUGAAAAUGUGGUUUUUUUACCUGUAAUGAAAUGUGGUAUAAUUUCCUGUUUCGUUUUUUUUCCCCCUUUCAGUUGCAAUUUUUGAUGGAGGCAGUGACCCC
Chelonia mydas (Green sea turtle) is the source of this 8695-nucleotide long non-coding RNA. RefSeq lists it as uncharacterized. The transcript has 2 exons. The record is from RefSeq and is a predicted model, not a curated record. Lineage: Eukaryota; Metazoa; Chordata; Testudines; Cheloniidae.